Molecule: long non-coding RNA, 762 nt
Filed under: Homo sapiens (human)
Lineage: Eukaryota; Metazoa; Chordata; Mammalia; Primates; Hominidae
Description: HSALNT0330979
Source: RNAcentral
CAGACAGACAGACAGAGGGAGUCCUGGAUGAAUGGCAAACCCUUCAGAUUCUAAUUUGUUUCUCAAUCAGUUGCUUCCUCGUGUGAAAUGAGGGGACAGACAGCUGAUCUUUCUGAGCUGCCCAUGGCUGGGACCACUGCCUCCAUUCCCAACACCCUGCUGGGGACCCCGCCUUCCAAAGAACAUGCCCCAGGCACACAGGUGAGCUCCCGCCAUGCACUCCCCGUGAAAGGGAAGCCGUCUGGAGGCAGUGUGGCACCUGAAGACGCUGGAGCUGCUGCUGUCAGGGACACACGCCCUGCCCAUUCAUCUGCCUUCUGCGCCGGGAGCCCCCGCAGAUGCGGAAGAUGCAGGGAAUGAUUCAGCCCCAGCCUUAAGAAAAAGAGGCACUGAAGAAAAUGAGUAAAGAGGAGCAGAGUUUCUUUUUUCCUCCCAAGUGAAUCAUUGAAAGAAAACAUCAAAUAGCAAAUGAAUAGCAUCAUAAGAAGUCAAGAGAAAGACCAUGGAAGAAAGAAGAAACUUUAACAGCGCUUUUUUCAUGAUCUUUGAACAAGGAGCUCUAAAUUAUCAUUUUGCACUGGCUCUGUCCCAGCUCAUGUUUGUUGAGUGAAUAAAUAAAUAAAUAAAUGCAUACAUACAUAUUUAUUAGUACAUGGAACACACUGAUUAUCUUCCAUUUCCUAACAACACUGUAUGUAAUCAGGAUUGCAGGCAUGUUAUGAAAUACUAGAAUAGCUGAAUAUUAAAAUUAUUCUGGAAUCA